Molecule: long non-coding RNA, 1541 nt
Organism: Dunckerocampus dactyliophorus (ringed pipefish)
Lineage: Eukaryota; Metazoa; Chordata; Actinopteri; Syngnathiformes; Syngnathidae
Exons: 3
Source: RefSeq, a predicted model, not a curated record
AAGACAAAAAGUCUCCAAAGUGUUGUGGAAGUCCACACGGGCUCCAGCUCUUCAAACGCCAUUUUUGAUCGUCACCUUGCCUCCAAGUGUGUGACUUAAUACACUGCUAGCUCCAUGACCUGAUUCAACCUUGACAGCAAGAUGGCUGGGAGAGGGGGCGUGCUCUUCCACGUGAGGCUCGUCCUACUGCAGCACCUCCAGGAUGAAGAGCAGCUAGAUUAUGCCGAGGGCCAAUAGAAUGAGCUGAGGGCCAAAAAUGCCCCCCAGGCCGCACUCUGGACACCCCUAGGUGAAACAUUUCCUUUGCUGGAUUGCCUCCCCUCUGCCUCCUUCCCGUCCUCUAACAGCCGUGAGAAAUCAUCCAUGGAAUUAUUCAAAGAGCGAUCCAGUGGUAAAAGAACGGAGCGACAAAACCUAACAAGCUUGCAUCCUUUCAGCAAGGCUCGUUAGCAGGAAGUGAGCAGCGGCACAACACAAAUGAAAGCUUUUUAGCAUCAGCAGUGUGUCAUCAUUGACUUAUUUGGCUGACUCGGUCUCCUUCCGUGCACCCUCUCGUCUUCAUGUCCUCGCGUCUCCUCCGGGAAGUGUUCCGGUCAAUGCUUCUAUUGAGCGCCGGCACAGUUGGACGUCUCUGACCCGUCAAGAGUUGUCUUGGAGAGGGACGGCGUCUUGUUCUCCUGCCGUGCUGCUUUGACACAGGCCUGUUAGCACGUCCUCUAGCCGGUAUGUGGCCGGCCUGUGGCGAAGGACAUGAGACAUUUUAGCAGCGGUAUGUCAUUAUACAUAUCAACAUUGUUACCUGAAUAUAUGACAAUGGGUAUUUUACUGCCUUUUUUAGAGCUUGUUCUUUUGGUGUUUAGUCCAGCAGAGACCAGAACCCUCCAAGAACAUGAAAUGCCCGUCAGAGGAUGCUGCAAACAUCUCAAUUAGGAGCUAUAAGAAGAUUAGCUUGUGGUAGCACUUUUUGGCACCCUUCAGUAGAGUAACAGGCAAAGUGGAGUGUGUUGAUUUGGUACCCCACUACUGAGGGUGGUACCUUCUUGGAAGUAGUGCUGCACACUUAUUUUGGUACCCCCACAUCACUGGUGACAAUAUAAGAAUUAAAAUACAGUACCAAAGUGUACUGCUUGGUGGAAUGACCUCUUCAGAGUUGAAAUCCACAGGAACAUCUUUCACAGCGCCUCCAAGGCAACAUGGCGGUGAGCACAGUGCUGCCUUCACUGACCUGCAGGCUCCAGCGGCUGCGGUUGGACAACAUCUCAACAAAGUGUGAAUGGAAAGUACACCGAGCGGAGCACAGACGGCCCCAUUGGGCCCUCAGGGAGUUUUAUUACCUCUUAAAAAUGUACACUCGGUGGCUGCGGGCCGUGUUGGCGGCCUGCUUCAGCAGCACAUUCAUCAUCUUAACCUCAACCCCACCCCACCCCUUCUCCCCUUAACGCUGAGUCUUUGGAGGGCCUACAGAAGCUGGGUGGCCUCUGGUGGAGAGCCAGGCCGCUCACUGACGCCAGCUGAGGAUGCCAGCCGCUAAAGUGUACCAA